RNAcentral lists this ribosomal RNA (403 nucleotides) under uncultured bacterium. RNAcentral's name for it is "bacterial SSU rRNA". It matches the Rfam family "Bacterial small subunit ribosomal RNA", at positions 356 to 773 of the family's 1533-position model. The record is from RNAcentral.
GGGGGAUAUUGCGCAAUGGGGGAAACCCUGACGCAGCAACGCCGCGUGAAGGAUGAAGGUCUUCGGAUUGUAAACUUCUUUUAUUAAGGACGAAGAAAGUGACGGUACUUAAUGAAUAAGCUCCGGCUAACUACGUGCCAGCAGCCGCGGUAAUACGUAGGGAGCAAGCGUUGUCCGGAUUUACUGGGUGUAAAGGGUGCGUAGGCGGCUUUGCAAGUCAGAUGUGAAAUCUAUGGGCUCAACCCAUAGCCUGCAUUUGAAACUGCAGAGCUUGAGUGAAGUAGAGGCAGGCGGAAUUCCCCGUGUAGCGGUGAAAUGCGUAGAGAUGGGGAGGAACACCAGUGGCGAAGGCGGCCUGCUGGGCUUUAACUGACGCUGAGGCACGAAAGCGUGGGUAGCAAAC